CCUACGGGCGGCAGCAGUGGGGAAUAUUGGACAAUGGGCGAAAGCCUGAUCCAGCCAUGCCGCGUGUGUGAAGAAGGCCUUCGGGUUGUAAAGCACUUUCAGUGGGGAAGAAAGCCUUGGGGCUAAUACCCUCGAGGAAGGACAUCACCCACAGAAGAAGCACCGGCUAACUCCGUGCCAGCAGCCGCGGUAAUACGGAGGGUGCGAGCGUUAAUCGGAAUUACUGGGCGUAAAGCGCGCGUAGGCGGUCUGAUAAGCCGGUUGCGAAAGCCCCGGGCUCAACCUGGGAACGGCAUCCGGAACUGUCAGGCUAGAGUGCAGGAGAGGAAGGUAGAAUUCCCGGUGUAGCGGUGAAAUGCGUAGAGAUCGGGAGGAAUACCAGUGGCGAAGGCGGCCUUCUGGACUGACACUGACGCUGAGGUGCGAAAGCGUGGGUAGCAAACAGGAUUAGAUACCCCUGUAGUC
This 465-nucleotide ribosomal RNA is filed under the name Vreelandella stevensii. RNAcentral's name for it is "partial 16S ribosomal RNA". It matches the Rfam family "Bacterial small subunit ribosomal RNA", at positions 338 to 795 of the family's 1533-position model. Lineage: Bacteria; Pseudomonadati; Pseudomonadota; Gammaproteobacteria; Oceanospirillales; Halomonadaceae. The record is from RNAcentral.